This 507-nucleotide ribosomal RNA is filed under the name uncultured bacterium. RNAcentral describes it as "partial 16S ribosomal RNA". It matches the Rfam family "Bacterial small subunit ribosomal RNA", at positions 28 to 507 of the family's 1533-position model. The record is from RNAcentral.
GACGAACGCUGGCGGCGUGCCUAAUACAUGCAAGUCGAACGCAUUUUCUUUCACCGUAGCUUGCUACACCGAAAGAAAAUGAGUGGCGAACGGGUGAGUAACACGUGGGUAACCUGCCCAUCAGCGGGGGAUAACACUUGGAAACAGGUGCUAAUACCGCAUAAUUCCAUUUACCGCAUGGUAGAUGGAUGAAAGGCGCUUUUGCGUCACUGAUGGAUGGACCCGCGGUGCAUUAGCUAGUUGGUGGGGUAACGGCCUACCAAGGCUGCGAUGCAUAGCCGACCUGAGAGGGUGAUCGGUCACACUGGGACUGAGACACGGCCCAGACUCCUACGGGAGGCAGCAGUAGGGAAUCUUCGGCAAUGGACGCAAGUCUGACCGAGCAACGCCGCGUGAGUGAAGAAGGUUUUCGGAUCGUAAAACUCUGUUGUUAGAGAAGAACAAGGAUGAGAGUGGAAAGUUCAUCCCUUGACGGUAUCUAACCAGAAAGCCACGGCUAACUACGUG